Molecule: non-coding RNA, 849 nt
Organism: Cinara cedri
Lineage: Eukaryota; Metazoa; Arthropoda; Insecta; Hemiptera; Aphididae
Source: the annotation of a GenBank genome assembly
GCCGAUUAAACAAUAUGUGUUAAUGCAAUUUUCAUUACCAGCUGGAUUUGACAACGAAAAUCAAUCAAAUAAUAUAAUAUUGUAUAUUAUUCGAAUAAAAUAUCAUACCAAAUAGUUGUAAUGACCGAAAAACCAAUACACAUAAAAAACUAUAAUCGUCUUCCUCAGCCUCAGCCGUUAGGUUGUAAAAAUUAGCGAUAGACACAACCGAAUGGUUACUAUAUCGAACUGUUCGAAAGAUUGAAAACUAAUCGAAUAGUUUAUGGGUUAUAGGUUAUGUGAAAUGCUAUUUGUACAAGCAAGGUUAUAUUCGAAUAGUUUUUCAAAAUAUUCGAUAGGUUUCCCGGUUACAAUUACUCGGUAAUGGAAAAAAUAUUCGACUGAAAUAAUCAAUAGUUCAUUUAAACUAACUAAAUGUAGUAUAAACUAUUCAGAAGUGUGCAUCUCUAGUAAAAAAUACGCGCGUAAUAAUAUUUUAGUACGCCAAAAUUCCUGUUUGAAAAUAUAUAUCCUCGCAUUAUAUUUCUAUAGAUAUAUUAUUGUUACUAAAUUAUAUAAAAUAAAACAAUUUAUUAAGUCUUAAAUUACCUAGCUAUGUUAUAAUUUUUUAGUUUUUUUAGUUUUUUUUUUUUUUAUACGUUUAAUGCGACAAAUUACUACCAUACAUCCUUUAUACGAUUAAGACUAGAAAGGUGGGUUCAGAAUAUUCGCACUGAUAAUCGAAAUAUAGAAUAAAAUUCAAUAUGAAUAAUAUUAACGUAUAUUAUUAUACUAUUAUGUUAAAACACAAAGCUGGGCAGUAGGUAACUAGUUGAAAAGUUAAGUUUUAUAAGUUCUUUUUUGAUAACU